Suricata suricatta (meerkat) is the source of this 786-nucleotide long non-coding RNA. RefSeq lists it as uncharacterized. The transcript has 2 exons. NCBI's taxonomy places the organism in Eukaryota, Metazoa, Chordata, Mammalia, Carnivora, Herpestidae. The record is from RefSeq and is a predicted model, not a curated record.
GCAAAGAAAAAGCCAGUCUUCAUAUUGGCCUUUAGGGCUCCACCCUCAGCACCCUGCCUCAUCUCGUACUGCUCCCUCCUUCCCUCCUGCCACUGAGCCACAUGGACCCUUGGUGCUCCCUGGGGGAGGCAGAGGCACUAAUGAAUCAGGCAAGAACCAAACAUGAACUGCAGGGACCCCACAGCUAGUCCAGUCUCUGACAUCUCUGUUGGAUUUCCACGGGAACAGUAAAUCAUCUCUAUUACUUUGGCAGCUGGCACCUCCUCUCAGUCCUGCAAGAGUGCUAAGCUGCUAACCUGAAACCCAAGGCACAAGGAGAGCGUCCGGAUUCUCUCGUGCCUGGACGGACACUGGGCCUUUGGGAAGGAAGGCCUCUGGAAGCAGAGACCAAUGUGAAAGGGACUGUGUGAGCGCUGCACUGUGGAUGGAGACUGACAGCUUUGCAGUGGUGAGAAAAUGACUCAGAAACCAGUCAGGACAAUAUCUGCUUGGGCUAGUCCUUCCAAUUAAUUUAUGUUCUUAUGGUUAACUCACUGCACUCACAGUGCAGAAACCUGGCAAACACAUCUGAUGAAAGCUAACAUCUGCCCAGUGACGACAUGUGGCCCCUGAUAGGAUGUGAGAAGAGGACACCUUCACCUCCGGGGUGUUCUUUCCAAACCCAACGCCAGUCUAACCUUGAGAAGAACACCGGGCAAACCCGGACUGGGCUCGGUCAGGGUCACGGACAGCAAGGCCAGACUGAGAAACUGUCCAGAGGCGGCUGAAUAAAUGUGGUGUCCUGGA